CCUACGGGUGGCAGCAGUGAGGAAUAUUGGUCAAUGGGCGAGAGCCUGAUCCAGCAAAGCCGCGUGAAGGAUGAAGGAUCUAUGGUUUGUAAACUUCUUUUAUAUGGGAAUAAAGUGAGGAACGUGUUCCUUUUUGUAUGUACCAUAUGAAUACGCAUCGGCUAACUCCGUGCCAGCAGCCGCGGUAAUACGGAGGAUGCGAGCGUUAUCCGGAUUUAUUGGGUUUAAAGGGUGCGUAGGUGGUUAAUUAAGUCAGCGGUGAAAGUUUGUGGCUCAACCAUAAAAUUGCCGUUGAAACUGGUUGACUUGAGUGUAGAUGAGGUAGGCGGAAUGCGUGGUGUAGCGGUGAAAUGCAUAGAUAUCACGCAGAACUCCGAUUGCGAAGGCAGCUUACUAAACUAUAACUGACGCUGAGGCACGAAAGCGUGGGGAGCAAACAGGAUUAGAUACCCUUGUAGUC
This 460-nucleotide ribosomal RNA is filed under the name uncultured bacterium. RNAcentral's name for it is "partial 16S ribosomal RNA". It matches the Rfam family "Bacterial small subunit ribosomal RNA", at positions 338 to 795 of the family's 1533-position model. The record is from RNAcentral.